CGGGACGUGGCGCAGUUUGGUAGCGCGCUUGCUUUGGGAGCAAGAUGUCGCAGGUUCGAAUCCUGUCGUCCCGACCA
RNAcentral lists this transfer RNA (77 nucleotides) under Slackia heliotrinireducens. Its description in RNAcentral is "tRNA-Pro(tgg)". It matches the Rfam family "tRNA". Rfam says of the family: Transfer RNA (tRNA) molecules are approximately 80 nucleotides in length. Their secondary structure includes four short double-helical elements and three loops (D, anti-codon, and T loops). RNAcentral also lists the same sequence under 2 other names. The record is from RNAcentral. Lineage: Bacteria; Bacillati; Actinomycetota; Coriobacteriia; Eggerthellales; Eggerthellaceae.